AUGCUUCCCAGAUCCCAAAUGGCCAUACAACUCACGCUUCUACUCAUUUCGUGUAGCCUUUACAGUAUGUAUUCCUCUUCUUCUUUCUCCACGUCCUCCUCUCUUGCAUUGCUGGUGCUGGUUAUCUCCACCUGCCUCUCCUUGCUCUUCUCGAACCUCAGACAACUGAUGAGAACCAGCAGCCACAAAACUUCCAUGGAGGUGGUUGCUCAUCAGGAGAAGAGCACUGUGCCACAAGAUGAGGUGUCCGAGGAUGCGCCGGUGGAUUCGGCUGGAAGCCUGUCAGGGUCGUCAGAUUGCCAGGUGAGUGAAGAGUGGACUGAUGAAGUCUCGGUGUCUGACGACGACGACGAGAGUCUUAUUGAGAUCUCCCUUGUUGAUGGGUACUAUGUGGGGCAAGAGGAGCAAUGCCUCUGGAAGAAGGAGCAAGACCUCCUCGUUGACUUCCUGCCGGAGUUCGUUCUCGACAGGAGGGACUUCAUAGACAUCUUGCCGGAGAUCGGUGAGGAGGAAAACAUGAUCGAGAUUGACAUUGCAAGGGGCUCCAUCAAGUGCGCAAACUUCAGCGUCAAAGCAUGA
Molecule: ribosomal RNA, 579 nt
Filed under: Triticum aestivum (bread wheat)
Lineage: Eukaryota; Viridiplantae; Streptophyta; Magnoliopsida; Poales; Poaceae
Description: partial small subunit ribosomal RNA
Source: RNAcentral